Molecule: long non-coding RNA, 148 nt
Organism: Populus euphratica (Euphrates poplar)
Lineage: Eukaryota; Viridiplantae; Streptophyta; Magnoliopsida; Malpighiales; Salicaceae
Exons: 2
Source: RefSeq, a predicted model, not a curated record
AAAACUAUCCUCGCCUCCCCUAUAUAUAGUUCCAUCUCCUUCCCUUAAUCCAUCACAUCGCAAGAGAAAGGAAAGAUGACAGAUGAUUACUCUGAUGCGGGAAAGCGUUCGUGGCCGGAGCUAGUGGGAAUAAAAGGAGAAGUGGCAG